UAGAGUUUGAUCAUGGCUCAGAACGAACGCUGGCGGCAGGCCUAACACAUGCAAGUCGAACGCCCCGCAAGGGGAGUGGCAGACGGGUGAGUAACACGUGGGAACCUUCCCUAUAGUAUGGAAUAGCCCAGGGAAACUUGGAGUAAUACCGUAUACGCCCGCAAGGGGAAAGAUUUAUCGCUAUAGGAUGGGCCCGCGUAGGAUUAGCUUGUUGGUGAGGUAACGGCUCACCAAGGCGACGAUCGGUAGCUGGUCUGAGAGGAUGACCAGCCUCACUGGGACUGAGACACGGCCCAGACUCCUACGGGAGGCAGCAGUGGGGAAUAUUGGACAAUGGGGGCAACCCUGAUCCAGCAAUGCCGCGUGUGUGAAGAAGGCCUUCGGGUUGUAAAGCACUUUUAUCGGGAAAGAAACGCGCGAGGCUAAUACUCUCGCGAACUGACGGUACCCGAUGAAUAAGCACCGGCUAACUCCGUGCCAGCAGCCGCGGUAAUGCGACGUCGGGCC
This 507-nucleotide ribosomal RNA is filed under the name uncultured bacterium. RNAcentral describes it as "bacterial SSU rRNA". It matches the Rfam family "Bacterial small subunit ribosomal RNA", at positions 1 to 536 of the family's 1533-position model. The record is from RNAcentral.